GAGGGUAUAGCUCAGUGGUAGCGUGCGUGCUAAGGACGCACGAGGUCCUGGGUUCAAUCCCCAGUACCUCCA
This 72-nucleotide transfer RNA is filed under the name Camelus bactrianus (Bactrian camel). It matches the Rfam family "tRNA". Rfam says of the family: Transfer RNA (tRNA) molecules are approximately 80 nucleotides in length. Their secondary structure includes four short double-helical elements and three loops (D, anti-codon, and T loops). The record is from Rfam by way of RNAcentral. RNAcentral also lists the same sequence under 1 other name. Lineage: Eukaryota; Metazoa; Chordata; Mammalia; Artiodactyla; Camelidae.